Molecule: ribosomal RNA, 208 nt
Filed under: Escherichia coli
Lineage: Bacteria; Pseudomonadati; Pseudomonadota; Gammaproteobacteria; Enterobacterales; Enterobacteriaceae
Also listed under: 1 other name
Description: partial 23S ribosomal RNA
Rfam family: Bacterial large subunit ribosomal RNA
Source: RNAcentral
GGGUUGUGAGGUUAAGCGACUAAGCGUACACGGUGGAUGCCCUGGCAGUCAGAGGCGAUGAAGGACGUGCUAAUCUGCGAUAAGCGUCGGUAAGGUGAUAUGAACCGUUAUAACCGGCGAUUUCCGAAUGGGGAAACCCAGUGUGUUUCGACACACUAUCAUUAACUGAAUCCAUAGGUUAAUGAGGCGAACCGGGGGAACUGAAACA